Molecule: small RNA, 4733 nt
Filed under: Pongo abelii (Sumatran orangutan)
Lineage: Eukaryota; Metazoa; Chordata; Mammalia; Primates; Hominidae
Description: retained intron
Source: RNAcentral
AGACCGGGGAAGCGUUGGGCUGCAAAGACUAGGGCGCCAGCGGCUGGCGAAGAAGGAAAGAGGGGAGUCUCUGGCUGGGCUGGGGCCGUAGCGACGUCCGCCGCGAACCUGGGCCCCCCAGAGCUGCGGGGCGUUCGGUGUCGCCGAAGUAAACAUGCACCCUGAGCCCUCGGAGCCUGCGGCAGGUGGUGCAGCAGAGCUGGAUUGCGCGCAGGAGCCCGGCGUGGAGGAGUCUGCCGGUGACCACGGUAGCACAGUCCGAAGGGGCUGCAAGGAAGAAAUUAAUGAUCCUAAGGAAAUACGUGUGGGUUCUUCUGACACAUCCUACCAAAGCCAGCAGAAACAGAGUGGUGAUAAUGGGUCAGGUGGUCACUUUGCAUACCCAAGAGAAGACAGGGAAGAUCGGGGCCCCAGAAUGACUAAAAGUUCCCUGCAAAACCUCUGCAAGCAGCACAAGCUUUAUAUUACCCCAGCAUUGAAUGAUACGCUGUAUUUACACUUUAAAGGUUUUGAUCGCAUUGAGAACCUGGAAGAGUACACAGGGCUGCGCUGUCUCUGGCUGCAGAGCAAUGGAAUACAGAAAAUCGAAAACCUGGAGGCCCAAACUGAGUUGCGUUGCCUCUUCUUGCAAAUGAACUUGCUCCAUAAAAUUGAGAACCUGGAACCUCUGCAGAAACUGGAUGCUCUUAACCUCAGCAACAAUUACAUCAAGACCAUUGAAAACCUCUCCUGCCUCCCAGUCCUGAACACAUUGCAGAUGGCCCACAAUCACCUGGAGACCGUGGAGGACAUUCAGCAUCUACAAGAGUGUUUGAGGCUUUGUGUCCUUGACCUUUCGCACAACAAGCUGAGCGACCCAGAGAUCCUGAGCAUUCUGGAAAGCAUGCCCGAUUUGCGUGUACUGAAUUUGAUGGGAAACCCGGUUAUCAGACACAUUCCUAAUUACAGAAGGACAGUCACUGUACGACUAAAGCACUUAACAUACCUGGAUGAUAGACCAGUGUUUCCAAAGGACAGAGCUUGUGCGGAGGCCUGGGCUAGGGGAGGGUACGCAGCUGAAAAGGAGGAGAGACAGCAGUGGGAGAGCAGGGAGCGGAAGAAGGUCACGGACAGCAUUGAAGCCUUGGCCGUGAUCAAGCGGCGGGCGGAGGAGAGGAAAGGACAGAGAGAGAGCCAAGAGAGAGGGGAGACGACAUCUUCAGACGAUGGUGAGAAUGUCCCCGCCAGUGCGGAAGGCAAGGAGGAGCCUCCGCGGGACAGAGAAACAAGGGAGAAGAUGGAGCUGUUUGUUAAGGAAAGCUUUGAGGCCAAGGACGAGCUCUGCCCGGAAAAGCCAAGUGGAGGAGAGGAGCCACCUGUGGAGGUUAAAGGAGAAGAUGGAGGUGGAGAGCCAGAGGGGACCCUCCCAGCUGAGGCCCUGCCACCCCCACCACCUGUGGAGGUUAAAGGAGAGGAUGGAGGUGGAGAGCCAGAGGGGACCCUCCCAGCUGAGGCCCUGCCACCCCCACCACCUGUGGAGGUUAAAGGAGAGGAUGGAGGUGGAGAGCCAGAGGGGACCCUCCCAGCUGAGACCCCGCUACUGUCACUGCCUGUGGAGGUUAAAGGAGAGGAUGGAGAUGAAGAGCCAGAGGGGACCCUCCCAGUUGAGGCCCAGCCACCGCUGCCCCUGGGAGCUGCCAGGGAAGAGCCGACUCCCCAGGCUGUGGCCACUGAGGGUGUAUUCGUUACAGAACUUGAUGGAAUGAGAACGGAAGAUUUAGAAACCAUUAGACUGGAGACAAAGGAGACAUUCUGCAUUGAUGUAUGUGAAAUAUUUAAUCUUGGAGAUAAGUAUCAGUUUUACUGUUAGUAAAAUAGGUAAUCAGAUGCAAACUUUGGAGACCCUCGAUACCCCAGGUGUGGUCCUUGGGCCGGCAGGCCUGGCAUUGCUGGGGCGCUGGUUAGAAAUGCAGACUCCCAGGCCUCACCCCAGGCCCACUGAUCAGAAUCCAACUUUAACGCACUGCCCUAGGUGAGUCGUGCACAUGCAUGCUCAAGUUUGGGGAGCCCUGACCCAAAUCGCUACCCUUGAACCAUGUCUACCAAACUCUUGAUUCCUUUUUGCCAAAGAAGCUAUCUUGCUAAGCAGUUCUGACUAGUUGCCUUAUCCAAAUUCGUGGUGAGAGUUACAUUGUAUCAUCAGUUACAUUGUAUCUUUAUACAUUGUAUCUUUUCCCUCCUCCUUGGAUACCGCCCAGCAGGUAGCUUAGCUCUCACUGGCCUUCUGGCUCAUGGAGGUGUGACGGUUCAGUGUCCCAUUCCCUUGAGUGAGUGUUUGAUCGCAGCCUUGCCUGUCACUCUUCCCUGAAGCUCUUCCCAUUUUGAUGACAGUCUCAAAUGCUUAGGCCCACAAGAAUGGUACCAUGGGAAUUCACACAUUGUGUCACAACCCUCCAAGAACUGUCUUUUGAUGGGGCACGAAUAGGAGAGGCAUUGCUGGGUACCUCUGACCUCAUACCUUGGAGAGGUGGCCCCCUGCCCACUUCCUUGUUAAACUUCUAAACUGGUGUUUCUAAUGUCCAAACUUAGAAUUUCACAUGGCCCAGUAAGAGUUAAAGUGAUAGGCCGGGCACGGUGGCUUACGCCUGUAAUCCCAGCACUUUGGGAGGCCGAGGUGGGUGGAUCACGAGGUCAAGAGAUCAAGACCAUCCUGGCUAACACGCUGAAAACCCGUCUCUACUAAAAAUAGAAAAAAAUUAGCCGGGCGUGGUGAUGGGCGCCUGUAGUCCCAGCUACUCGGAAGGCUGAGGCAGGAGAAUGGCAGGAACCUGGGAGGUGGAGCUUGCAGUGAGCUGAGAUAACUCCACUGUACUCCAACCUGGGCGACAGAGUGAGACUCCGUCUCAAAAAAAAAAAAAAAAAAGAGUUAAAGUGAUCACAAUCAGAAUUCAUAGUGGGUUUUCUAGUUUUCUGGAGCUAUGUAAAAGAAGAAACAAAGGCCAGGUGUGGUGGCUCACACCUGUAAUCCCAGCACUUUGGGAGGCCAAGGUGGGUGGAUCACAUGAAGACAGGAGUUCGAGACCAGCCUGGCCAACAUGAUGAAACCCCAUCUCUACUAAAAAUACAAAAAAAUAAAAAAUAAAAAAAUAAAAUUAGCCGGGCGUGGUGGCAGGUGCCUGUAAUCCCAGCUACUUGGGAGGCUGAGGCAGGAGAACUGCUUGAACCCGGGAGGCAGAGGUUGCUAUGAGCCAAGAUCUCACCACUGCACUCCAGCCUGGGCAACACAGCGAGACUCUGUCUCAAAAAAAAGAAAAAGAAAGAAACAUAAUUGGGCAAUUUAUCUCUCACAUUUGAGAACUGACCAUAUAGAUAACUACAACACUAAUAGCUAAUAUUAAUUGGUUUCUUAUUAUAUGCGUGACACCAUUCUAAGCGUGACUUGUAUUGAUUGAUGUAACCCUUCCUACAACUCUAAGCGGCACAUACUAUUAUCAUCCCAAUUUCCCAGAUGAGGAAAAUGAGAAACAGAGAGGUUAGGCAACUUGCCCAAAGCCACACAGCUAGAAAAUGGUGGUGGGGGAGUAACAACCCAGGCACCGUGGCUCCAGUUCAUGCAUCCAACCACACACUACGCUGCCUCCCCAACCACGCGCUAUGCUGCCUCCCCAACCACGCACUGGUUGUUAUGGACAAAGAUACCAAACAAACACCCACAGUACAAAACAAUAAAGUCCUACCAGUUUUGGGGAGGUACAAAAUAUAUUACUUUUAUACCACAUAGAGUUUUCAGACUAGUUUGUACAGAGGUGCAUUUGGUUUGGGUCCCAUUAUUUCCCUCAAGAUGAACUGGCUGUGUCUCUUAAUAAAAAAGCAGAAAAAAGAUGUGGAAAUUCUUUAAACACGUCACACCUUGCAAGUUCCCUUUCAUUUAUUAGAUCUAGACACCUGAGGUGGCAACGCUUGCUUUGUGUGUAUCUAGAGUUCCUUUUGGUGGGGAACAAGCAGGGGAGUCACCUGAGUGAUUUGAGUAACUGUAACUAAGGCUGGGUUGACUGCGUGUUUGCCUUUAUCGUGCCUAUCAGAACGUUGACAGCGCGUGUGCCUCCCUGGUGAUGUGCGGCUCGCUUGCUCUUGCAGGACCUACCUGACUUGGAAGAUGACGAUGAAACAGGCAAAUCUCUGGAAGACCAGGUUAAGAAUAUAUGCUUUCCGAAGAUUGAGGUCAUCUCGAGCUUGAGUGAUGACAGUGACCCUGAACUGGACUACACGUCACUCCCUGUGCUGGAAAACCUGCCCACAGACACUCUGUCAAAUAUAUUUGCAGUCUCUAAAGACACCUCAAAGGUGGCUCGGGUGCCCUUCACAGACAUCUUUAAAAAAGAAGCUAAGAGGGACUUGGAAAUCCGAAAACAAGACACCAAGUCCCCAAGACCCCUGAUCCAGGAGCUCAGCGACGAGGACCCCUCUGGCCAGCCACUGAUGCCCCCCACCUGCCAAAGAGAUGCUGCACCAGUCACUUCCAGUGGAGACGGGGACAGCGACUUCCUUGCAGCCUCUUCUCCGGUGCCGACUGAGCGCACCACCACACCCUCAGAGACGUGUGUCGGAGUUGCCCAGCCCAGCCCAGCUCUGCCCACGUGGGACCUUGCUGCAUUCCCAGCACCGAAAGCAUCAUAGUUUUCCCCAGUUAUAUGUAGCAUAAAUGGUUUAGUUAUAAAUGUCUCCUUUAGGCAUGAUAAACAUUUGAACACCCA